AUCCUCCAAGGCUAAAUACUCCUGAUUGACCGAUAGUGAACCAGUACCGUGAGGGAAAGGCGAAAAGAACCCCGGCGAGGGGAGUGAAAUAGAACCUGAAACCGUGUACGUACAAGCAGUGGGAGCCCCAUCACUCAAGUGCCUCGGCAAUUGAGUGACGGUGUAAAACCAUCACAAUAACAGCGCAGGAUUUGCCAACAAGAUUGGCUGAUUUUUUCAAGCCGCAGCGCAGUGGACAUCGAAGUCCAUGAGCAGCGGAAGUUAAAAAAUCGGGCAAGAUUGGCCGCAAAGCCAAGCGGGACAUUUGAGGAUGGGGUGACUGCGUACCUUUUGUAUAAUGGGUCAGCGACUUAUAUUCUGUAGCAAGGUUAACCGAAUAGGGGAGCCGUAGGGAAACCGAGUCUUAACUGGGCGAAUGAGUUGCAGGGUAUAGACCCGAAACCCGGUGAUCUAGCCAUGGGCAGGUUGAAGGUUGGGUAACACUAACUGGAGGACCGAACCGACUAAUGUUGAAAAAUUAGCGGAUGACUUGUGGCUGGGGGUGA
This 545-nucleotide ribosomal RNA is filed under the name Providencia rettgeri. RNAcentral's name for it is "partial 23S ribosomal RNA". It matches the Rfam family "Bacterial large subunit ribosomal RNA", at positions 455 to 824 of the family's 2925-position model. Lineage: Bacteria; Pseudomonadati; Pseudomonadota; Gammaproteobacteria; Enterobacterales; Morganellaceae. The record is from RNAcentral.